CAUCAGAUGGCUGAGAGCAAGCACUGGUCUUUUAACCCAGCUUACAGUAAGUUAGCAGAUACUUCUGAUGA
This 71-nucleotide transfer RNA is filed under the name Coraebus cavifrons. RNAcentral's name for it is "tRNA-Lys". Lineage: Eukaryota; Metazoa; Arthropoda; Insecta; Coleoptera; Buprestidae. The record is from RNAcentral.